AUUGAACGCUGGCGGCAGGCCUAACACAUGCAAGUCGAGCGGAUGAAGGGAGCUUGCUCCUGGAUUCAGCGGCGGACGGGUGAGUAAUGCCUAGGAAUCUGCCUGGUAGUGGGGGAUAACGUCCGGAAACGGGCGCUAAUACCGCAUACGUCCUGAGGGAGAAAGUGGGGGAUCUUCGGACCUCACGCUAUCAGAUGAGCCUAGGUCGGAUUAGCUAGUUGGUGGGGUAAAGGCCUACCAAGGCGACGAUCCGUAACUGGUCUGAGAGGAUGAUCAGUCACACUGGAACUGAGACACGGUCCAGACUCCUACGGGAGGCAGCAGUGGGGAAUAUUGGACAAUGGGCGAGAGCCUGAUCCAGCCAUGCCGCGUGUGUGAAGAAGGUCUUCGGAUUUUAAAGCACUUUAAGUUGGGAGGAAGGGCAGUAAGUUAAUACCUUGCUGUUUUGACGUUACCAACAGAAUAAGCACCGGCUAACUUCGUG
This 484-nucleotide ribosomal RNA is filed under the name uncultured bacterium. RNAcentral's name for it is "partial 16S ribosomal RNA". It matches the Rfam family "Bacterial small subunit ribosomal RNA", at positions 30 to 507 of the family's 1533-position model. The record is from RNAcentral.